ACAAGCGGUGGAUGAUGUGGAUUAAUUCGAUGCAACGCGAAGAACCUUACUACCCUUGACAUGUCCGGAACUUGCCAGAGAUGGCUUGGUGCCCGAAAGGGAAUCGGAACACAGGUGCUGCAUGGCUGUCGUCAGCUCGUGUCGUGAGAUGUUGGGUUAAGUCCCGCAACGAGCGCAACCCUUAUCAUUAGUUGCUACGCAAGGGCACUCUAAUGAGACUGCCGGUGACAAACCGGAGGAAGGUGGGGAUGACGUCAAGUCCUCAUGGCCCUUAUAGGUGGGGCUACACACGUCAUACAAUGGCUGGUACAAAGGGUUGCCAACCCGCGAGGGGGAGCCAAUCCCAUAAAGCCAGUCGUAGUCCGGAUCGCAGUCUGCAACUCGACUGCGUGAAGUCGGAAUCGCUAGUAAUCGUGGAUCAGCAUGUCACGGUGAAUACGUUCCCGGGUCUU
This 452-nucleotide ribosomal RNA is filed under the name uncultured Comamonadaceae bacterium. RNAcentral describes it as "bacterial SSU rRNA". It matches the Rfam family "Bacterial small subunit ribosomal RNA", at positions 925 to 1382 of the family's 1533-position model. Lineage: Bacteria; Pseudomonadati; Pseudomonadota; Betaproteobacteria; Burkholderiales; Comamonadaceae. The record is from RNAcentral.